GGGGCUGAUUCUGGAUUCGACGGAAUUUGCGAAACCCAAGGUGCAUGCCGAGGGGCGGUUGGCCUCGUAAAAAGCCGCAAAAAAUAGUCGCAAACGACGAAAACUACGCUUUAGCAGCUUAAUAACCUGCUUAGAGCCCUCUCUCCCUAGCCUCCGCUCUUAGGACGGGGAUCAAGAGAGGUCAAACCCAAAAGAGAUCGCGUGGAAGCCCUGCCUGGGGUUGAAGCGUUAAAACUUAAUCAGGCUAGUUUGUUAGUGGCGUGUCCGUCCGCAGCUGGCAAGCGAAUGUAAAGACUGACUAAGCAUGUAGUACCGAGGAUGUAGGAAUUUCGGACGCGGGUUCAACUCCCGCCAGCUCCACCA
RNAcentral lists this transfer-messenger RNA (363 nucleotides) under Escherichia coli. It matches the Rfam family "transfer-messenger RNA". Rfam says of the family: Bacterial tmRNA, also known as 10Sa RNA or SsrA, is named for its dual tRNA and mRNA-like properties. Its role is to liberate the mRNA from a stalled ribosome. RNAcentral also lists the same sequence under 1 other name. The record is from RNAcentral. Lineage: Bacteria; Pseudomonadati; Pseudomonadota; Gammaproteobacteria; Enterobacterales; Enterobacteriaceae.